RNAcentral lists this ribosomal RNA (253 nucleotides) under uncultured bacterium. RNAcentral's name for it is "partial 16S ribosomal RNA". It matches the Rfam family "Bacterial small subunit ribosomal RNA", at positions 524 to 776 of the family's 1533-position model. The record is from RNAcentral.
UACGGUGGGGGCAAGCGUUGUUCGGAAUUACUGGGCGUAAAGGGCUCGUAGGCGGCCAACUAAGUCCGACGUGAAAUCCCCAGGCUCAACCUGGGAACUGCGUCGGAUACUGGAUGGCUUGAAUUCGGGAGAGGGAUGCAGAAUUCCAGGUGUAGCGGUGAAAUGCGUAGAUAUCUGGAGGAAUACCGGUGGCGAAGGCGGCAUCCUGGACCGACAUUGACGCUGAGGAGCGAAAGCUAGGGGAGCAAACGGG